GUGGGGAAUUUUGGACAAUGGGGGCAACCCUGAUCCAGCCAUGCCGCGUGCGGGAAGAAGGCCUUCGGGUUGUAAACCGCUUUUGUCAGGGAAGAAAUCCUUUGGGUUAAUACCUCGGAGGGAUGACGGUACCUGAAGAAUAAGCACCGGCUAACUACGUGCCAGCAGCCGCGGUAAUACGUAGGGUGCGAGCGUUAAUCGGAAUUACUGGGCGUAAAGCGUGCGCAGGCGGUUUUGUAAGAUCGAUGUGAAAUCCCCGGGCUCAACCUGGGAACUGCAUUGGUGACUGCAAGGCUGGAGUGCGGCAGAGGGGGAUGGAAUUCCGCGUGUAGCAGUGAAAUGCGUAGAUAUGCGGAGGAACACCGAUGGCGAAGGCAAUCCCCUGGGCCUGCACUGACGCUCAUGCACGAAAGCGUGGGGAGCAAACAGGAUUAGAAACCCCGGUAGUCC
This 450-nucleotide ribosomal RNA is filed under the name uncultured bacterium. RNAcentral's name for it is "bacterial SSU rRNA". It matches the Rfam family "Bacterial small subunit ribosomal RNA", at positions 354 to 796 of the family's 1533-position model. The record is from RNAcentral.